GUCGUUAGUAAGGAAUUGAUUAGAGGAGAAGAAGGAGGAUAAGAAGAAGAAGAUGGUGGAGAGGAAGAAGAGAGGAAAGAAUGGUUACCGACGGAAAUGGGUAGAGGUGGAAGGGGCUAAAAUUAAAAGGGGAUUGCUUAUAGGUAGUUUGGAGGGAGAGAAGGCAAAAUGGAUGAGGAAGAAAAGGAGAUGAAAGGAGUCACCAU
This 206-nucleotide long non-coding RNA is filed under the name Elaeis guineensis (African oil palm). RNAcentral describes it as "long non-coding RNA (EGUI_LNC019216)". Lineage: Eukaryota; Viridiplantae; Streptophyta; Magnoliopsida; Arecales; Arecaceae. The record is from RNAcentral.